This 279-nucleotide ribosomal RNA is filed under the name uncultured archaeon. RNAcentral's name for it is "partial 16S rRNA". It matches the Rfam family "Archaeal small subunit ribosomal RNA", at positions 1047 to 1325 of the family's 1478-position model. The record is from RNAcentral.
GAGACCCACGCCAACAGUUGCCAGCACGUUCUCCGGAAUGGUGGGGACACUGUUGGGACCGCCUCUGCUAAAGAGGAGGAAGGAAUGGGCAACGGUAGGUCAGCAUGCCCCGAAUUACCCGGGCUACACGCGGGCUACAAUGGACAGGACAAUGGGAAUCGACACCGAGAGGUGAAGGCAAUCCCCUAAACCUGCCCUUAGUUCGGAUUGUGGGCUACAACUCGCCCACAUGAAGCUGGAAUCCGUAGUAAUCGCGGAUCAACAUUCCGCGGUGAAUAU